Ornithodoros turicata is the source of this 188-nucleotide long non-coding RNA. RefSeq lists it as uncharacterized. The transcript has 3 exons. Lineage: Eukaryota; Metazoa; Arthropoda; Arachnida; Ixodida; Argasidae. The record is from RefSeq and is a predicted model, not a curated record.
UCUUCUCUUUCUCCAGGAAAGUUUCAACGAUCUCUUCGUGGACACAAUGACGCCUCUACGUUUCGCUGUUGUCUUCGUCCUCCUCUUUGGUGUAUUUGUCGCCAAUGAAGCUGCACCUGAAGGACACGAGCUUGAACGUCGUGACAUUGGCCUUGACCUCCAGCUCUGCGCUUGUCUUCCGAUUGUUA